GUCUAGUACUCAGAGUUUGAUCCUGGCUCAGGAUGAACGCUAGCUACAGGCUUAACACAUGCAAGUCGAGGGGCAGCAUGAACAUAGCUUGCUAUGUUUGAUGGCGACCGGCGCACGGGUGCGUAACACGUAUCCAAUCUGCCCGCUACUCGGGGAUAGCCUUCUGAAAGGAAGAUUAAUACCCGAUAGUAUUCAUUGGCGGCAUCGCUUUUGAAUUAAAGGAUUUAUCGGUAACGGAUGAGGAUGCGUACGAUUAGCUGGUUGGCGGGGUAACGGCCCACCAAGGCUACGAUCGUUAGGGGUUCUGAGAGGAAGGUCCCCCACACUGGAACUGAGACACGGUCCAG
RNAcentral lists this ribosomal RNA (347 nucleotides) under uncultured bacterium. RNAcentral describes it as "bacterial SSU rRNA". It matches the Rfam family "Bacterial small subunit ribosomal RNA", at positions 1 to 334 of the family's 1533-position model. The record is from RNAcentral.